This 474-nucleotide ribosomal RNA is filed under the name uncultured organism. Its description in RNAcentral is "partial 16S ribosomal RNA". It matches the Rfam family "Bacterial small subunit ribosomal RNA", at positions 335 to 800 of the family's 1533-position model. The record is from RNAcentral.
ACUCCUGCGGGAGGCAGCAGUGGGGAAUUUUGGACAAUGGGCGAAAGCCUGAUCCAGCCAUGCCGCGUGCAGGAUGAAGGCCUUCGGGUUGUAAACUGCUUUUGUACGGAACGAAACGGCCUUUUCUAAUAAAGAGGGCUAAUGACGGUACCGUAAGAAUAAGCACCGGCUAACUACGUGCCAGCAGCCGCGGUAAUACGUAGGGUGCAAGCGUUAAUCGGAAUUACUGGGCGUAAAGCGUGCGCAGGCGGUUAUGUAAGACAGUUGUGAAAUCCCCGGGCUCAACCUGGGAACUGCAUCUGUGACUGCAUAGCUAGAGUACGGUAGAGGGGGAUGGAAUUCCGCGUGUAGCAGUGAAAUGCGUAGAUAUGCGGAGGAACACCGAUGGCGAAGGCAAUCCCCUGGACCUGUACUGACGCUCAUGCACGAAAGCGUGGGGAGCAAACAGGAUUAGAAACCCCUGUAGUCCCAUGA